GGAGCCGUAGCCAAGUGGUAAGGCAGAGGUCUGCAAAACCUCCAUUCCCCGGUUCAAAUCCGGGCGGCUCCU
RNAcentral lists this transfer RNA (72 nucleotides) under Myxococcales bacterium. Its description in RNAcentral is "tRNA-Cys". It matches the Rfam family "tRNA". From Rfam's summary of the family: Transfer RNA (tRNA) molecules are approximately 80 nucleotides in length. Their secondary structure includes four short double-helical elements and three loops (D, anti-codon, and T loops). The record is from RNAcentral. Lineage: Bacteria; Pseudomonadati; Myxococcota; Myxococcia; Myxococcales. RNAcentral also lists the same sequence under 2 other names.